UCCUUAGAUGUCCUGGGCCGCAUGCGCGUUACACUGAUGCAUUCAACGAGCUUAUAACCUUGGCCGAGAGGCCUGGGCAAUCUUGUUAACGUGCAUCGUGAUAGGGAUAGAUUAUUGAAAUUAUUAAUCUUGAACGAGGAAUUCCUAGUAAACGCAGAUCAUCAAUCUGCAUUGAUUACGUCCCUGCCCUUUGUACACACCGCCCGUCGCACCUACCGAUUGGAUGGUCCGGUGAAGCCUCGGGAUUGUGGUUCUUGCCGCUUUAUUGUGGCGUGACCGCGAGAACUUGUCUAAACCUUAUCAUCUAGAGGAAGGUGAAGUCGUAACA
Molecule: ribosomal RNA, 328 nt
Filed under: uncultured eukaryote
Lineage: Eukaryota
Description: partial 18S ribosomal RNA
Rfam family: Eukaryotic small subunit ribosomal RNA
Source: RNAcentral